This is a long non-coding RNA of Saccostrea cuccullata (small rock oyster), 533 nucleotides long. RefSeq lists it as uncharacterized. The record is from RefSeq and is a predicted model, not a curated record. The transcript is spliced from 5 exons. NCBI's taxonomy places the organism in Eukaryota, Metazoa, Mollusca, Bivalvia, Ostreida, Ostreidae.
AGUGAUGCAUUCUCAAGAAGGAGGAGAUUAAUGAACCCUCCCCUCUUACAAUGAACAACACAUGGACACUCUCAGGAUGGCCCCUUUGCUUUCAUUAAGAGUUCCAAGAUGAGGGUCUGAUUGACUGGGGUGUGAAAUGUAACAGCCAAUGGUGUACUUAAGCUAAGACUGUCAGUCCCAAUAUUCAAGAGUGAUGCAUUCUCAAGAAGGAGGAGAUUAAUGAACCCUCCCCUCUUACAAUGAACAACACAUGGACACUCUCAGGAUGGCCCCUUUGCUUUCAUUAAGAGUUCCAAGAUGAGGGUCUGAUUGACUGGGGUGUGAAAUGUAACAGCCAGUGGUGUACUUAAGCUAAGACUGUCAGUCCCAAUAUUCAAGAGGAAAAACCCCUACAUAAACAAAUACAUGGGCGCAGACAUUUUGGACACCCAAAGUUGUGCGGAGGAGAAAAUGCUACCUGGCGCGUGAUUGGUCAAUAAGAGAAAAGACUUGAUAUGUAUUUGACAAGUGAAAUAAAGUUGAUAAAAAUGUAA